RNAcentral lists this ribosomal RNA (462 nucleotides) under Triticum aestivum (bread wheat). RNAcentral describes it as "partial small subunit ribosomal RNA". Lineage: Eukaryota; Viridiplantae; Streptophyta; Magnoliopsida; Poales; Poaceae. The record is from RNAcentral.
AUGAGAGGGAGAAGAAGUAAGGAAGGGAGGGUGAAAGAGAGGAAAGAGGAGAGGGAGGUAGAGCCGCCUUCUCUCCCUGCCUCUUCCGCGGUGGUCGAGGUGCAGCAGCGUCGGCGCCGCCAGGUUCUCGAUCCAGUCGGAUCUGGCGCCGGUCGCCGUCCCCGUCGCCUCGUCUUCUUUCUUUCCAACCCACCGCCUCCGAGCUUCUGCUCCUGCUACGUCUCCUUCUCCCUUCCCGCCGCGGGAGCAGUCAUCGCUGCGCCCUCGCCCCCGCACGCCGUCCUUCCGCGCGCCUCACCAGCCACCACCAGCAGCAGCGUAGGGAGCCAAUGGGAAGGGGGUCCAAGGCCAAAUCCUGCUUCAGCGGAGGCCAUGACUGAGGCGGAGGGGGAGCUCCCCAAAGCCAUCGUGGAUCGUGCUGUGGCGGCGUGGAGCAGGGGAGGAUUUGGGCGAUGGGCAUGA